CGCAUCUGUGCAUGCAGCAUAUCAAUAAGCGGAGGAAAAGAAACUAACAAGGAUUCCCCUAGUAACGGCGAGUGAAGCGGGAAGAGCUCAAAUUUGAAAUCUUAAAGGGUUUCCCUUUACGAAUUGUAGUUUAAAGAAGUGUUUUCUGUUGAGGUUUUGGUAAAAGUUCUUUGGAAUAGGACAUCAUAGAGGGUGAGAAUCCCGUAUUUGACCUUUACUUUCAACUUUGUGAUACACUUUCAAAGAGUCGGAUUGUUUGGGAAUGCAGUCCAAAAUGGGUGGUAAAUUUCAUCUAAAGCUAAAUAUUGGCGAGAGAUCGAUAGCGAACAAGUACCGUGAGGGAAAGAUGAAAAGAACUUUGAAAAGAGAGUUAAACAGUACGUGAAAUUGUCAAAAGGGGAAGCGUUUGACACCAGUGUUGUUUUUCUGAAAAUCAAUUAAAGAACUGUUUAUGCUAAGCUGUUUAGACUUUAUCAGCUAACUGUUUAGUUUUGAGCUUUUCUUUAAUGCACUUUUCAGUUAACAAGUCAACAUCAAUUUCUUUUGCUGUAAAAAAGCUUGAGGAAGGUGGCUUGAGAUUCGUCUUAAGUGUUUAUAGCCUCUUGCCUAUGCAGUCGGAGAGAUUGAGGUCUGCAGCGUAGAUCCUUCGGGGCUAAAUGCAUUUGUGCUAAGUUAUAGCAUUUUAUAGACAACUUGUUGACUAUGAUUUGUCUUGUAGCUUACUCGCUUAUGUUAUUUUACCUACGCUUAGGAUGUUGAACGCGCACAGAGUCUC
This 775-nucleotide ribosomal RNA is filed under the name uncultured Neocallimastigales. Its description in RNAcentral is "partial large subunit ribosomal RNA". It matches the Rfam family "Eukaryotic large subunit ribosomal RNA", at positions 26 to 635 of the family's 3401-position model. Lineage: Eukaryota; Fungi; Neocallimastigomycota; Neocallimastigomycetes; Neocallimastigales. The record is from RNAcentral.